This 281-nucleotide long non-coding RNA is filed under the name Equus asinus (donkey). Its description in RNAcentral is "lncRNA (ENSEASG00005025932.1)". The record is from RNAcentral. Lineage: Eukaryota; Metazoa; Chordata; Mammalia; Perissodactyla; Equidae.
CCGAGACCGGGGGCCGGAGCUGCGGCGCGGGCGGGGCUCCAGAUCGGACCCCUGCGGCCUGCGCUCUCCUCGGCGCUUGCUCCUCGGCCGCUUCGCCGUCUGAAGCAGAGGCGAAAACCGUGCACGAACACAAGCAUGACAUCAUUUGGAUUACUUCACUUCGAAAACAGAGAGCUUUGAGAAAUGCAAAGCCCCAUAAGUGUUCUGCCUAAAAUUGGGAUUGGCACAGGUGACAGAUGGAGUUUUCAUUUUGUUAUAGGAUAAUUUUUUGUCCAUUAUUU